UUCGCAAUGCCCGAAAGGGUGACGAAGCGACGCCGCGUGCGGGAAGAAGGCCUUCGGGUUGUAAACCGCUGUCGGGAGUUAAGAAAUGCAAGGGUGUUAACAGCAUCCUUGCUUGACUAAGGCUCCGGAGGAAGCCACGGCUAACUCUGUGCCAGCAGCCGCGGUAAUACAGAGGCGGCAAGCGUUGUUCGGUAUUAUUGGGCGUAAAGAGCACGUAGGCGGCUAUGUAAGUCGGUUGUGAAAGCCUUCCGCUCAACGGGAGAACAGCAUCCGAUACUGCAUGGCUUGAGUGCGGGAGGGGAGAGUGGAACUUCUGGUGGAGCGGUGAAAUGCGUAGAUAUCAGAAGGAACGCCGGCGGCGAAAGCGGCUCUCUGGCCCAUAACUGACGCUGAGUGUGCGAAAGCUAGGGGAGCAAACGGGAUUAGAUACCCCGGUAGUCCUAGCCGUAAACGAUGGGCACUAAGUAGAGGGGUUUU
RNAcentral lists this ribosomal RNA (477 nucleotides) under uncultured anaerobic ammonium-oxidizing bacterium. RNAcentral's name for it is "bacterial SSU rRNA". It matches the Rfam family "Bacterial small subunit ribosomal RNA", at positions 365 to 832 of the family's 1533-position model. The record is from RNAcentral.